Molecule: long non-coding RNA, 1227 nt
Organism: Eriocheir sinensis (Chinese mitten crab)
Lineage: Eukaryota; Metazoa; Arthropoda; Malacostraca; Decapoda; Varunidae
Exons: 3
Source: RefSeq, a predicted model, not a curated record
GAUGUUCUUUUUCUUUUUACUAAACUCCAUCCGUGUUCUGCGCGUUCCCUUCGAGGAGACGGCUUGUUUGUUUACCUCUGCCGGCCCUCCGCGCCGCCCGCCGCACCUCUCCUCUAAACAUGACGUCUGGAUUUUCCAAGUUCAGGAGGCCCAUCCUCCUUGGGGGUGCUGUAGCCAUGAUGUCUCUUGUCUACACAUUCAGGCAUGAGUUGAUAGGUGAUCUAACACAAGAGAGGGCAGCACUCUUCCAGCAGACAGACCAAGAGGGAACGCAAAAGCUUAAAGAAAACAUACGAGAAGCACAUGCAAGCUUCUUUAAGAGCUUAAUGCAAGGGAAGAAGGAGCAGUGAUAUGCAAGGACUAUGAUAACUGUACAGUGUGCAUUAAUGAGAGCUUGUGUGUGUAAAAAUGUGUAGUUUACUUUAUCAAUAAUGUACUAUAAUAUAUACAAUUUGCACAGUGAUUUGACAAUUUAAGGGAGGACAAAAGUUUCUAUCAAACAUUCAUGGACGUUAAUUAAUUUAAGGAUUUCUGGAAAGUUAUUGUUAAUGAGAACUUGCUAUAUAUGUAGGUAUAUCUUACUUUCACAUUAUAAGUCUCAAAACACAAGAAAUUUAUCUUGCCUGAUAAGGGGAAAAGCAUUUUUCCAUUGCCAGGGAUCAAACCUUGAUUGGCCAAAUGGAAAGACAAUGCUACCAGUCAGCUAGAGGUACCUGCAGCUAAGUGGGUUUUGGAGCCUCUCCGUUUCACUACAAUGAUAUUUUUUGUCUUGGAAAGUUGAUUUAUAUUAUUCAAGUACCUUGAAGGACUGUGGCUGGUGAUGGCUCCCUUGGGAUAUGAAUAUUUUUGGUGUUCCUUGCUCAAUAAAGGCUUGUCUGGAGGGGAAAUGAAAGAAGUAAGAAGCAUAAACAUCUCUCCAGUAUAACUAUUCAUGUUUGGUAAUCUUUGUCAUUAGCUCUGAAGCAAUAGCUGUUGUUGAGAAAUUUUGGCAUGGAUGCUUGUUCAUCACACUUGACUUUUAGAAGCUUGCAAGUUUCAAUUGUAAUAGGAAUGCAGAUGUUCUCCACUGUAUGGGAAACAUUACUGUCUAAUAACUGAAGAUUAUUAAAUGAUAAAGAUAACCAGUGUCAAAUUAUAUUUGAAGGCAGUUCAUUCCUUAUUCUGUAGUUUUUAUCAAGAUAAGGAUUUAUACAGCUGGUUUUUGUCAUUAAUAAAGUUUAUAUAUUA